GUGUUUUUGUUUUUGAGGUUUCAUUCAGGUACGAUACUUUUCAGAAAGAUGUCCUUUUAUUGAGUGAACAGUGUAUUUCUGCGCUGUUUGAACGGGGGUGAAGUUUCCCUCGGCAAGGAAAGGAGUUGAAACUAUUUUCUUAGCCAAACCUUGUUGAAUAUUAAUGCAUUUUUAUUGGUGUCGUUUUGCAGAACUUCUGUGUCCCAUCCAGUCGCUGCAACCGAGACCUGAAGGUGUUGGAACCAGUUAAUUAUUAUUUAUUUGGAAUUGUUGGACAUUGUUCGGAAUUGCCGGCGUGUUGCGAUUUUCAAAUAUAAAAUGAUCGAGUUGUGGUCUUUUUCAUUGGAUCUGUUGACGUGGGGGUCUCCUUUGAAAGGCGCAUGCUAGUGUCGUGUGUGGACACACAUUCCAAGCUGCACAUCUGCAGUGCCUGUCUUACAACAUGCCGUGGUCACUGUCUAGAGGGAUUCGGUUCUCUCUCCCAGAUCCUGGACAAGCACGUGCCUGUUCGCUGGUCACUGAAAUCUACGUGUUCAGCGGAGCUUUCGUCUGGUGAGUAGGGCCUUCAUGGC
Non-coding RNA from Lepisosteus oculatus (spotted gar), 572 nucleotides. Lineage: Eukaryota; Metazoa; Chordata; Actinopteri; Semionotiformes; Lepisosteidae. The record is from RefSeq and is a predicted model, not a curated record.